Leminorella grimontii is the source of this 92-nucleotide non-coding RNA. Lineage: Bacteria; Pseudomonadati; Pseudomonadota; Gammaproteobacteria; Enterobacterales; Budviciaceae. The record is from Rfam.
GUCCUAAAGAUUAAUAACUAGAUGUGUUCCUAUUAUCUGUUUAAUAGAAACCACCUCCUUACCAGUCCAAUCUCCCUUGGGCUGGUUUCUUU